GUAAUCCCAGCUAUGAGGGAGGCUGAGGCAGGAGAAUCGCUUGAACCCAGAAUGUGAAGGUUGCAGUGAGCCAAGAUCACAUCACUGUAUUCCAGCCUGGAUGACAGAGGGAAACUCCGUCUCAAAAAAAAAACAAAAAAAAAAGAACUUGUGCCCCUUACUCCUGCCACCUGGACAAGUCCUCAAGUGCUUUCCCAUGAGAUAAAGCUGGUGGGAAGCUCAUUCCUGUUUCACAGAUGAGAAGUGUAAGGUCUAGAGAGGAGCCGGGACUUGCCUAAGGUCACACAGCCAGGGAGGUGGAUGUUAGGGUCCCUGCCUCGGGUUUGGAGAAGCAUGGUGGACACAGAGCUAGUGGAUUUGAGAGGCAGGGGUGGUCCCCUAUUCACCUCUGUUGCUCCCCCAACUCCAGAGUGACAGAGCUGGGCCUGGCAGUGGAGCGUCUUCAGAAGCAGAAUCUGGAGAAGGAUCAGGUCAACAAGGACAUCACCGAGAAGCUUGAGGCCCUGGAAUCCGUGGGGCUACAGGAGCAGGCGGCCCUGGAGACAGAGGACGGAGAGGGGCUACAGCAGACCCUAAGGGACCUGGCACAGGUGUGAGCCCAGAGAGGCAGGAAGACAGGGCCCUGCCAGGCGGUCCCGGGCUCCCCCGCUACGCCUUUCGGUGGCUUAGGACUGAACUGCAAAUCGGUGGGGGCCUGGGGCCCAGGCUGUAGCUGCUCAGCACCCCUGCUAGCUCACCCGGCCCCUGCCCUGGGGAACCCCCAGUGUCAGAGGGGAGGCACGGCCCUUUCGGAGCCCACCUGUGAGCAAGCGCC
Molecule: long non-coding RNA, 814 nt
Filed under: Rhinopithecus bieti (black snub-nosed monkey)
Lineage: Eukaryota; Metazoa; Chordata; Mammalia; Primates; Cercopithecidae
Description: lncRNA (ENSRBIG00000046220.1)
Source: RNAcentral